This 811-nucleotide long non-coding RNA is filed under the name Mytilus galloprovincialis (Mediterranean mussel). The record is from RNAcentral. Lineage: Eukaryota; Metazoa; Mollusca; Bivalvia; Mytilida; Mytilidae.
GUGCUAUUAGAUACAAUAAUAUUUUAUGUUAGUUUUGACAAUAAAUAUAGAUUGUAAAAACAAAUGACAAAUUGAAUUAUAAAAAUAAUACUUUAAAUGCAUUCCACAUGGUAUCAAAGUGUUUUUGUCUCUUAUUUUUGACUGCCAUUAUUUUUUCUAAAUUGUACAUAUAUUUUAACUUUUCUUUAAUGGCACUGACUGAAAGAUCUUUUGAAAAACAUCUACUGUUGUAUAUAUAUUGUUUCAUGUAUAGAAAAAUCAAAUUAUAUGGGUCACCUUUUCGAACUUUUGAUAUAUCUCCAAAAAUAAAAUUCAACUUAUUCAAUGGCAGGCUUACCCCACCAGAUAAGAACCAAUAAUCUACAUCUUGUAAAAAAUUUUGGAUAAUCUCACAAUUCCACAGAAUAUGUUCAACAGUUUCAUCUUCUAAUUUACAAAAAGUACAUAGAGGGUUAUCGAUAAGUUUGAUUUUACAUAAAAAUUUAUUUGUGGCAAGAAUUCUAUGGUUGAUUCUGUACUGAAGCCACUGUAGUUUUGUAUUGACAGUGACUGUAAAAGGUAGUUUGAAUAUAUGUUUCCAAAUAAGAUCUUCACCUAAUAUUUCACUCCACUUCAGUUGUCCUGUUGGAGUCACCUUGUUACUUAUGAGUAUUUUGUACAUAUCUUUAGUACCUUUUCUACUUUUAAAAAAGACUUGUAAGCAAGCUGGAAUAAAUGGACAACAUAACUUAUAUGAACCUUUUUUGUAAUUGUUUGCUGCUUUUUUAAUAGCAGAAAUAACACUCAUGUAAUUCAGAAAAUUUACAUUGAU